ACAGGGAUUGCCCUAGUAACGGCGAGUGAAGCGGCAACAGCUCAAAUUUGAAAUCUGGCUCUUUCAGAGUCCGAGUUGUAAUUUGCAGAGGGCGCUUUGGCUUUGGCAGCGGUCCAAGUUCCUUGGAACAGGACGUCACAGAGGGUGAGAAUCCCGUACGUGGUCGCUAGCUAUUGCCGUGUAAAGCCCCUUCGACGAGUCGAGUUGUUUGGGAAUGCAGCUCUAAAUGGGAGGUAAAUUUCUUCUAAAGCUAAAUAUUGGCCAGAGACCGAUAGCGCACAAGUAGAGUGAUCGAAAGAUGAAAAGCACUUUGGAAAGAGAGUCAAACAGCACGUGAAAUUGUUGAAAGGGAAGCGCUUGCAGCCAGACUUGCUUGCAGUUGCUCAUCCGGGCUUUUGCCCGGUGCACUCUUCUGCAGGCAGGCCAGCAUCAGUUUGGGCGGUGGGAUAAAGGUCUCUGACACGUUCCUUCCUUCGGGUUGGCCAUAUAGGGGAGACGUCAUACCACCAGCCUGGACUGAGGUCCGCGCAUCUGCUAGGAUGCUGGCGUAAUGGCUGUAAGCGGCCCGUCUUGAAACACGGACCAAGGAGUCUAACAUCUAUGCGAGUGUUUGGGUGUCAAGCCCGAGCGCGUAAUGAAAGUGAACGGAGGUGGGAACCCGCAAGGGUGCACCAUCGACCGAUCCUGAAGUUUACGGAAGGAUUUGAGUAAGAGCAUGGCUGUUGGGACCCGAAAGAUGGUGAACUAUGCUUGAAUAGGGUGAAGCCAGAGGAAACUCUGGUGGAGGCUCGCAGCGGUUCUGACGUGCAAAUCGAUCGUCAAAUUUGGGCAUAGGGGCGAAAGACUAAUC
Molecule: ribosomal RNA, 850 nt
Filed under: Curvularia lunata
Lineage: Eukaryota; Fungi; Ascomycota; Dothideomycetes; Pleosporales; Pleosporaceae
Description: eukaryotic LSU rRNA
Rfam family: Eukaryotic large subunit ribosomal RNA
Source: RNAcentral